This 74-nucleotide transfer RNA is filed under the name Yarrowia lipolytica CLIB122. RNAcentral's name for it is "tRNA YALI0_A08283r". It matches the Rfam family "tRNA". Rfam says of the family: Transfer RNA (tRNA) molecules are approximately 80 nucleotides in length. The record is from RNAcentral. Lineage: Eukaryota; Fungi; Ascomycota; Dipodascomycetes; Dipodascales.
UCCGCAAUAGUUUAGUGGCUAGAAUUUCCGCCUGUCAGACGCGGGGGACCGGAGUUCAAUUCUCCUUUGCGGAG